GCUCAACCGGGGAGGGUCAUUGGAAACUGGGGAACUUGAGUGCAGAAGAGGAGAGUGGAAUUCCACGUGUAGCGGUGAAAUGCGUAGAGAUGUGGAGGAACACCAGUGGCGAAGGCGACUCUCUGGUCUGUAACUGACGCUGAGGCGCGAAAGCGUGGGGAGCGAACAGGAUUAGAUACCCUGGUAGUCCACGCCGUAAACGAUGAGUGCUAAGUGUCAGAGGGUUUCCGCCCUUUAGUGCUGCAGCAAACGCAUUAAGCACUCCGCCUGGGGAGUACGGUCGCAAGACUGAAACUCAAAGGAAUUGACGGGGGCCCGCACAAGCGGUGGAGCAUGUGGUUUAAUUCGAAGCAACGCGAAGAACCUUACCAGGUCUUGACAUCCUCUGACAACCCUAGAGAUAGGGCUUCCCCUUCGGGGGCAGAGUGACAGGUGGUGCAUGGUUGUCGUCAGCUCGUGUCGUGAGAUGUUGGGUUAAGUCCCGCAACGAGCGCAACCCUUGAUCUUAGUUGCCAGCAUUCAGUUGGGCACUCUAAGGUGACUGCCGGUGACAAACCGGAGGAAGGUGGGGAUGACGUCAAAUCAUCAUGCCCCUUAUGACCUGGGCUACACACGUGCUACAAUGGGCAGAACAAAG
RNAcentral lists this ribosomal RNA (637 nucleotides) under uncultured bacterium. Its description in RNAcentral is "bacterial SSU rRNA". It matches the Rfam family "Bacterial small subunit ribosomal RNA", at positions 607 to 1244 of the family's 1533-position model. The record is from RNAcentral.